UACGAAGGGUGCUAGCGUUGUUCGGAAUUACUGGGCGUAAAGCGCAUGUAGGCGGAUCUAUAAGUCAGAGGUGAAAUCCCCGGGCUCAACCCUGGAAUUGCCUUUGAUACUGUAGAUCUGGAGUCUGGGAGAGGUGAGUGGAAUUCCGAGUGUAGAGGUGAAAUUCGUAGAUAUUCGGAGGAACACCAGUGGCGAAGGCGGCUCACUGGCCCGAGACUGACGCUGAGAUGCGAAAGCGUGGGGAGCAAACAGG
This 253-nucleotide ribosomal RNA is filed under the name uncultured bacterium. RNAcentral's name for it is "partial 16S ribosomal RNA". It matches the Rfam family "Bacterial small subunit ribosomal RNA", at positions 524 to 776 of the family's 1533-position model. The record is from RNAcentral.